RNAcentral lists this ribosomal RNA (305 nucleotides) under uncultured bacterium. RNAcentral describes it as "bacterial SSU rRNA". It matches the Rfam family "Bacterial small subunit ribosomal RNA", at positions 337 to 657 of the family's 1533-position model. The record is from RNAcentral.
GCCUACGGGACGCAGCAGUGGGGGAUAUUGCACAAUGGGGGAAACCCUGAUGCAGCGACGCUGCGUGGGCGAAGAAGUAUUUCGGUAUGUAAAGCCCUAUCAACAGGGAAGAAGAAAUGACGGUACCUGAGUAAGAAGCACCGGCUAAAUACGUGCCAGCAGCCGCGGUAAUACGUAUGGUGCAAGCGUUAUCCGGAUUUACUGGGUGUAAAGGGAGCGCUGGCGGCACGGCAAGCCUGAUGUGAAAGCCCGCGGCUCAACCCCGGGACUGCAUUUGGAACUGUAAGGCUAGAGUGUCGGGGGGG